GGACUUAAAAUCCUCAGUGGUAGAAUACAACCUUGCCAAGGUUGGGGUCGCGGGUUCGAAUCCCGUCUUCCG
RNAcentral lists this transfer RNA (72 nucleotides) under Bacillus mycoides. RNAcentral's name for it is "tRNA-Gly". The stretch from base 12 to 66 matches the Rfam family "tRNA", at positions 10 to 63 of the family's 71-position model. From Rfam's summary of the family: Transfer RNA (tRNA) molecules are approximately 80 nucleotides in length. Their secondary structure includes four short double-helical elements and three loops (D, anti-codon, and T loops). Lineage: Bacteria; Bacillati; Bacillota; Bacilli; Caryophanales; Bacillaceae. The record is from RNAcentral.